Molecule: ribosomal RNA, 192 nt
Filed under: uncultured bacterium
Lineage: Bacteria
Description: partial 16S ribosomal RNA
Rfam family: Bacterial small subunit ribosomal RNA
Source: RNAcentral
AACCCGACUACAUGAAGCUGGAAUCGCUAGUAAUCGCGGAUCAGAAUGCCGCGGUGAAUACGUUCCCGGGUCUUGUACACACCGCCCGUCACACCAUGGGAGUCGGAAAUGCCCGAAGUCUGUGACCUAACCGCAAGGGAGGAGCAGCCGAAGGCAGGUCGGAUGACUGGGGUGAAGUCGUAACAAGGUAUC